CAUAAGUGGUUAGGGUUCCUUUAUUUUACGGGGAAGUAUUUUCCAAAACAAAAUAAAUGAGAUGGGUUUUUAGGGAAAAUAAUUUUAUUUCUGUAAGAUAUUUUCUGAAAAAUCUUUGUCCACUCUCACCAUAUUCUUUCUCCUUCUUCUGUUCUUCAUCUUCCUUCUCCUUUUCAUCCAGUUCCCUUCUUGAAUCUCAAUCAAGCUGGUUAAACAUGCCGAGUUUUGGGUAAAGGAGCUGGCUCUUAGUAACACAAUGGGUAAGGGCAACAAAGAAGUGACCUUCAAGCAAUUCAGGUGGACAAAAUUGAUGGAACAUUUUUUUCUUGAAAUUCUAGCAAAGAAGGCCUAGAAAGUAAAUAAGCUUUCUAAAACACUUUCAAAGCAGUUUCUAUUAGUCGAGUUGCCGAAGCUAUUUCUGAAAGGUUUCAAGUCCAAUGCGAUGCAAAACAUGUAGAAAAUUAUUUGAGGACUGUAAAAAACCAGUGAGAGAUUAUAUGCACAAUUUAAGGUGAAAGUGGAUUUGGAUGGGAUGAUAAUAUGAAAAUGAUCACAUGUGAUAGAGCGACAUAUGAUUCAACAGUGAUGGUAAUAUAUAUAUGUUAAGUAUAUUUCAAUUGUGUUUUACUUGUUAUUCUAAUUGUGUAUAAUAUUCAACAGGCACAUAAGAAGUAUGAACUAUUUUUGAAUAAAAGCAUUGCUCAUUAUGAUGAAA
This is a long non-coding RNA of Gossypium arboreum, 715 nucleotides long. RefSeq lists it as uncharacterized. NCBI's taxonomy places the organism in Eukaryota, Viridiplantae, Streptophyta, Magnoliopsida, Malvales, Malvaceae. The record is from RefSeq and is a predicted model, not a curated record. The transcript has 3 exons.